This 339-nucleotide unclassified non-coding RNA is filed under the name soil metagenome. RNAcentral describes it as "partial contains 5.8S ribosomal RNA, internal transcribed spacer 2, and large subunit ribosomal RNA". The stretch from base 1 to 120 matches the Rfam family "5.8S ribosomal RNA", at positions 35 to 154 of the family's 154-position model. The record is from RNAcentral.
GAUGAAGAACGUAGCGAAAUGCGAUAAGUAGUGUGAAUUGCAGAAUUCAGUGAAUCAUCGAAUCUUUGAACGCACAUUGCGGCCAUAGGUAUUCCUUUGGCCAUGCCUGUUCGAGCGUCAUUUACACCCUCAAGCCUAGCUUGGUGUUGGGCGCCUGUCCCGCCGUUUUCGCGCGCGGACUCGCCUCAAAGUCAUUGGCGGCGGUCGUGCCGGCCCCCUCGCGCAGCACAUUUGCGCUUCUCGGAGGCCCGGCGGAUCCGCGCUCCAGCAAGACCUUUCACGACUUGACCUCGGAUCAGGUAGGGAUACCCGCUGAACUUAAGCAUAUCAAUAAGCGGA